Molecule: long non-coding RNA, 399 nt
Organism: Oncorhynchus tshawytscha (Chinook salmon)
Lineage: Eukaryota; Metazoa; Chordata; Actinopteri; Salmoniformes; Salmonidae
Source: Ensembl
CUGGUUCUCCCUCCUCCUCCUCUCUAAUGUAUCUAUACUAGGCUGGUUCUCCCUCCUCCUCCUCUCUAAUGUAUCUAUACUAGACUGGUUUUCCCCCCACCUAUUAAUGUAGCUAUACUAUACUGGUUCUCCCUCCUCCUCUUUAAUGUAGCAUUACUAGACUGGUUCUCCCUCCUCCUCUCUAAUGUAGCUGUACUAGACUGGUUUUCCAUCCUCCUCUCCUAUGUAGCUGUACUAGACUGGUUCUCCCUCCUCCUCCUCUCUUAUGUAGCUGUACUAGACUGGUUUUCCCUCCUCCUCCUCUCUAAUGUAGCAUUACUAGACUGGGUCUCCCUCCUCCUCUCUAAUGUAGCUGUACUAGACUGGUUCUCCCUCCUCCUCCUCUCUAAUAUAGCUGUA